This is a non-coding RNA of Oryza sativa Japonica Group (Japanese rice), 982 nucleotides long. The record is from RefSeq and is a predicted model, not a curated record. Lineage: Eukaryota; Viridiplantae; Streptophyta; Magnoliopsida; Poales; Poaceae.
CUACUGUGCUCAAUCCGUGAUAAAAUGUUAAGUCAUCAAAAAACCUAAAAACAGUGACGGGUUGAUCGUGAUGAAUUGGCAUAUUAUCAUUUUUUAAUUUUUAAUUAGUGAUGCCAUAUUUUAUCAUCGCUAAAAUUAUUAUUAGUGAUGAGAUGGUUAUCACAAAAAAUGAUUACAAUUUACAAGGCAAUUAAAAUAAAGAAAAAAAUAGCAGUAGAUAAGGCUUGGCAAGUUUCGAACACACGACCACCAGGAUGUAUAGGUAAGGUUGUUGACCAACUGGCCAAGAUAAAUCAUCUAAAUGAGGUUCUCUUAAUCUUUUAUAGUACUUGUGUGAACUAGGAGGUCAACAGCCCGGUUGUCCUCCACUAAGCUCUAAGCCACCACCCCUGCAGUGCUGUGGUAGUAUGUGUUGGGAGCUGGAGAACGGCCAGUGAGCUCGGCCCCAUGACCGGGAGUGCUGCAAGGAGUGUAGCGAGCUCGACUUGCAGCAGCGCGAGAAUGGGCAGUGAACCCGAACGGUCCAGUUGCUUGAGGAGCAAUGGCUACUUCGAUCUGAGCAUCCCUUAUAGAUCUGCAAUUUUUGUUUUUGGAUCGCACAUGCCCAUCCAAUGGCUAGUUCAACUUAAUUUUUAUACUAAACUUUGUACUAAUUUUCUUUAGUGCAAGUCAAUUUGGCAUAUCUGAAUUGUUUAUGAGCCAUCACACAUAUACAAAAUUAUCGACUAGUGCAAAAUCUGGUGAUGGCUGAUGAGCUCUAGCUCCUCCAUAAAAAAUACCACAUGUAUAUUGCUUACAUAUGGUACGAGGGUACUGAGCAAAAGAGUUUAGAUAUGUAAUAAGAAUUAAUCAACUAUUUUAGUAAGUCUAAAUUUGCAUAAACCUGAAAAAAAUUGUAUAUUAACUAUCAUAUGUAUCUUCAUCACUUUCUGUGUUAUUGUCAUCAUCUGUAUCCAUAUACUCAGCGCCGUCACUUUCAGAA